This 508-nucleotide ribosomal RNA is filed under the name uncultured bacterium. RNAcentral describes it as "bacterial SSU rRNA". It matches the Rfam family "Bacterial small subunit ribosomal RNA", at positions 16 to 518 of the family's 1533-position model. The record is from RNAcentral.
UUACUGGCUCAGGAUGAACGCUAGCUACAGGCUUAACACAUGCAAGUCGAGGGGUAGCAGGGUAGCAAUACCGCUGACGACCGGCGCACGGGUGAGUAACACGUAUCCAACCUUCCCAUAACUCAGGGAUAGCCUUUCGAAAGAAAGAUUAAUACCUGAUAGUACUUUUUCAAGGCAUCUUGAAAAAAGUUAAAGAUUUAUUGGUUAUGGAUGGGGAUGCGUUCCAUUAGAUAGUUGGUGAGGUAACGGCUCACCAAGUCUUCGAUGGAUAGGGGUUCUGAGAGGAAGGUCCCCCACAUUGGUACUGAGACACGGACCAAACUCCUACGGGAGGCAGCAGUGAGGAAUAUUGGUCAAUGGGCGAGAGCCUGAACCAGCCAAGUAGCGUGAAAAGGAUGAAGGUCCUAUGGAUUGUAAACUUCUUUUAUAGUAGAAUAAAGUGAGCCACGUGUGGUUUUUUGUAUGUAUACUAUGAAUAAGGAUCGGCUAACUCCGUGCCAGCCGCCGC